RNAcentral lists this ribosomal RNA (253 nucleotides) under Barnesiella intestinihominis YIT 11860. RNAcentral describes it as "partial 16S ribosomal RNA". It matches the Rfam family "Bacterial small subunit ribosomal RNA", at positions 524 to 776 of the family's 1533-position model. The record is from RNAcentral. Lineage: Bacteria; Pseudomonadati; Bacteroidota; Bacteroidia; Bacteroidales; Barnesiellaceae.
UACGGAGGAUGCGAGCGUUAUCCGGAUUUAUUGGGUUUAAAGGGUGCGUAGGCGGCACGCCAAGUCAGCGGUGAAAUUUCCGGGCUCAACCCGAAAUGUGCCGUUGAAACUGGCGAGCUAGAGUGCACAAGAGGCAGGCGGAAUGCGUGGUGUAGCGGUGAAAUGCAUAGAUAUCACGCAGAACCCCGAUUGCGAAGGCAGCCUGCUAGGGUGCGACAGACGCUGAGGCACGAAAGCGUGGGUAUCGAACAGG